RNAcentral lists this ribosomal RNA (594 nucleotides) under Rhodotorula mucilaginosa. Its description in RNAcentral is "eukaryotic LSU rRNA". The stretch from base 170 to 323 matches the Rfam family "5.8S ribosomal RNA". Lineage: Eukaryota; Fungi; Basidiomycota; Microbotryomycetes; Sporidiobolales; Sporidiobolaceae. The record is from RNAcentral.
UGCGGAAGGAUCAUUAGUGAAUAUAGGACGUCCAACUUAACUUGGAGUCCGAACUCUCACUUUCUAACCCUGUGCACUUGUUUGGGAUAGUAACUCUCGCAAGAGAGCGAACUCCUAUUCACUUAUAAACACAAAGUCUAUGAAUGUAUUAAAUUUUAUAACAAAAUAAAACUUUCAACAACGGAUCUCUUGGCUCUCGCAUCGAUGAAGAACGCAGCGAAAUGCGAUAAGUAAUGUGAAUUGCAGAAUUCAGUGAAUCAUCGAAUCUUUGAACGCACCUUGCGCUCCAUGGUAUUCCGUGGAGCAUGCCUGUUUGAGUGUCAUGAAUACUUCAACCCUCCUCUUUCUUAAUGAUUGAAGAGGUGUUUGGUUUCUGAGCGCUGCUGGCCUUUACGGUCUAGCUCGUUCGUAAUGCAUUAGCAUCCGCAAUCGAACUUCGGAUUGACUUGGCGUAAUAGACUAUUCGCUGAGGAAUUCUAGUCUUCGGACUAGAGCCGGGUUGGGUUAAAGGAAGCUUCUAAUCAGAAUGUCUACAUUUUAAGAUUAGAUCUCAAAUCAGGUAGGACUACCCGCUGAACUUAAGCAUAUCAAUAA